ACUAAAGUAAAUUUGAUUAAGAUAUACUAAUAAAUUUUAUUAAAAUAUUUUAUAAAAUAUUCAGAUUACUCAUAUAGCUUUCCUAGAAAUAAGCAAAGUGCUUGAGGCCAGUCAGAUGCUUAUUACGAGUCGGGUAUACUAUUCAGUUUGACUUUGUUUUCCAAUGGGACAAAAAAGACAUAGAACGAGCGGAAAGCUCAAAAUUGCGACAAAUUAAAAAGUGAUUGACCAAGUAGGAUAUAAUACGCCAAAAUCACUAAUACCAGAGUGAGAAAGUAUAGUGCAUAUUCUCAUCCUGGUGAGUUCAAAUAAAGAAGAGGGAAUAACGAGUUGUUCAUUUUAAGGCAAAACUGUACUUACCUACAUAUCCCAUUCUACUUGAUCUACUAAAGAUGUAUUUCCUACAUGUAUGUUUAACUUAAUUAUAACU
Molecule: long non-coding RNA, 430 nt
Organism: Bombus huntii
Lineage: Eukaryota; Metazoa; Arthropoda; Insecta; Hymenoptera; Apidae
Exons: 2
Source: RefSeq, a predicted model, not a curated record